RNAcentral lists this ribosomal RNA (250 nucleotides) under uncultured prokaryote. RNAcentral's name for it is "partial 16S ribosomal RNA". It matches the Rfam family "Bacterial small subunit ribosomal RNA", at positions 524 to 773 of the family's 1533-position model. The record is from RNAcentral.
UACGUAGGGGGCAGGCGUUAUCCGGAUUUACUGGGUGUAAAGGGAGCGCAGACGGCUGUGCAAGUCUGAUGUGAAAGGCAGGGGCUCAACUCCUGGACUGCAUUGGAAACUGUAUAGCUGGAGUGCCGGAGGGGUAAGCGGAAUUCCUAGUGUAGCGGUGAAAUGCGUAGAUAUUAUGAGGAACACCAGUGGCGAAGGCGGCUUACUGGACGGUAACUGACGUUGAGGCUCGAGAGCGUGGGGAGCAAAC